RNAcentral lists this ribosomal RNA (253 nucleotides) under uncultured bacterium. RNAcentral's name for it is "partial 16S ribosomal RNA". It matches the Rfam family "Bacterial small subunit ribosomal RNA", at positions 524 to 776 of the family's 1533-position model. The record is from RNAcentral.
UACAGAGGUCCCGAGCGUUGUUCGGAUUCACUGGGCGUAAAGGGUGCGUAGGCGGUCGGUUAAGUCUGAUGUGAAAUCUCACAGCUUAACUGUGAAACUGCAUUGGAUACUAUUCGGCUUGAGGUCUGGAGGGGGGACUGGAAUUCUUGUUGUAGCAGUGAAAUGCGUAGAUAUCAAGAGGAACACCAGUGGCGAAGGCGAGUCCCUGGACAGGUCCUGACGCUGAGGCGCGAAAGCUAGGGGAGCAAACAGG